This 1455-nucleotide ribosomal RNA is filed under the name Lactiplantibacillus plantarum. RNAcentral's name for it is "bacterial SSU rRNA". It matches the Rfam family "Bacterial small subunit ribosomal RNA". Lineage: Bacteria; Bacillati; Bacillota; Bacilli; Lactobacillales; Lactobacillaceae. The record is from RNAcentral.
GUGCCUAAUACAUGCAAGUCGAACGAACUCUGGUAUUGAUUGGUGCUUGCAUCAUGAUUUACAUUUGAGUGAGUGGCGAACUGGUGAGUAACACGUGGGAAACCUGCCCAGAAGCGGGGGAUAACACCUGGAAACAGAUGCUAAUACCGCAUAACAACUUGGACCGCAUGGUCCGAGUUUGAAAGAUGGCUUCGGCUAUCACUUUUGGAUGGUCCCGCGGCGUAUUAGCUAGAUGGUGAGGUAACGGCUCACCAUGGCAAUGAUACGUAGCCGACCUGAGAGGGUAAUCGGCCACAUUGGGACUGAGACACGGCCCAAACUCCUACGGGAGGCAGCAGUAGGGAAUCUUCCACAAUGGACGAAAGUCUGAUGGAGCAACGCCGCGUGAGUGAAGAAGGGUUUCGGCUCGUAAAACUCUGUUGUUAAAGAAGAACAUAUCUGAGAGUAACUGUUCAGGUAUUGACGGUAUUUAACCAGAAAGCCACGGCUAACUACGUGCCAGCAGCCGCGGUAAUACGUAGGUGGCAAGCGUUGUCCGGAUUUAUUGGGCGUAAAGCGAGCGCAGGCGGUUUUUUAAGUCUGAUGUGAAAGCCUUCGGCUCAACCGAAGAAGUGCAUCGGAAACUGGGAAACUUGAGUGCAGAAGAGGACAGUGGAACUCCAUGUGUAGCGGUGAAAUGCGUAGAUAUAUGGAAGAACACCAGUGGCGAAGGCGGCUGUCUGGUCUGUAACUGACGCUGAGGCUCGAAAGUAUGGGUAGCAAACAGGAUUAGAUACCCUGGUAGUCCAUACCGUAAACGAUGAAUGCUAAGUGUUGGAGGGUUUCCGCCCUUCAGUGCUGCAGCUAACGCAUUAAGCAUUCCGCCUGGGGAGUACGGCCGCAAGGCUGAAACUCAAAGGAAUUGACGGGGGCCCGCACAAGCGGUGGAGCAUGUGGUUUAAUUCGAAGCUACGCGAAGAACCUUACCAGGUCUUGACAUACUAUGCAAAUCUAAGAGAUUAGACGUUCCCUUCGGGGACAUGGAUACAGGUGGUGCAUGGUUGUCGUCAGCUCGUGUCGUGAGAUGUUGGGUUAAGUCCCGCAACGAGCGCAACCCUUAUUAUCAGUUGCCAGCAUUAAGUUGGGCACUCUGGUGAGACUGCCGGUGACAAACCGGAGGAAGGUGGGGAUGACGUCAAAUCAUCAUGCCCCUUAUGACCUGGGCUACACACGUGCUACAAUGGAUGGUACAACGAGUUGCGAACUCGCGAGAGUAAGCUAAUCUCUUAAAGCCAUUCUCAGUUCGGAUUGUAGGCUGCAACUCGCCUACAUGAAGUCGGAAUCGCUAGUAAUCGCGGAUCAGCAUGCCGCGGUGAAUACGUUCCCGGGCCUUGUACACACCGCCCGUCACACCAUGAGAGUUUGUAACACCCAAAGUCGGUGGGGUAACCUUUUAGGAACCAGCCGCCUAAGGUG